This 253-nucleotide ribosomal RNA is filed under the name uncultured bacterium. Its description in RNAcentral is "partial 16S ribosomal RNA". It matches the Rfam family "Bacterial small subunit ribosomal RNA", at positions 524 to 776 of the family's 1533-position model. The record is from RNAcentral.
UACGUAGGGUGCGAGCGUUAAUCGGAAUUACUGGGCGUAAAGCGUGCGCAGGCGGUUUUGUAAGCCUGAUGUGAAAGCCCCGGGCUUAACCUAGGAAUGGCAUUUGGGACUGCAAGGCUUGAGUGCGGCAGAGGAGACUGGAAUUCCUGGUGUAGCAGUGAAAUGCGUAGAUAUCAGGAGGAAUACCGAUGGCGAAGGCAGGUCUCUGGGCUGACACUGACGCUCAUGCACGAAAGCGUGGGGAGCAAACAGG